CGGGCUCUCGGGUCUUUUUUAGCGCCAUCUGCUCGCGGCGCCGCCUUCUGCGCCUCCAGCCGCCGCUACCGCCCUGAGUCACUGCCUGCGCAGCUCCGGCCGCUUGGCUCCGCGUUCUAGCCGCCGAUACUUGGAGUUCUUACAACAUGGCAGACAUUGACAACAAAGAACAGUCUGAACUUGAUCAAGAUUUGGAUGAUGUUGAAGAAGUAGAAGAAGAAGAAACUGGUGAAGAAACAAAAAUCAAAGCGCGUCAGCUAACUGUUCAGAUGAUGCAAAAUCCUCAGAUUCUUGCAGCCCUUCAAGAAAGACUUGAUGGUCUGGUAGAAACACCAGCAGGAUACAUUGAAAGCUUGCCUAGGGUAGUUAAAAGACGAGUGAAUGCUCUUAAAAACCUUCAAGUUAAAUGUGCACAGAUAGAAGCCAAAUUCUAUGAGGAAGUUCAUGAUCUUGAAAGAAAAUAUGCUGUUCUCUAUCAGCCUCUAUUUGAUAAGCGAUUUGAGAUCAUCAAUGCAAUUUAUGAACCUACAGAAGAAGAAUGUGAAUGGAAACCAGAUGAGGAGGAUGAAAUUUCGGAGGAGCUGAAAGAAAAGGCCAAGGUUGAAGAUGAGAAAAAGGAUGAAGAAAAAGAAGACCCCAAAGGAAUUCCUGAAUUUUGGUUGACUGUUUUUAAGAAUGUUGACUUGCUCAGUGAUAUGGUUCAGGAACAUGAUGAACCUAUUCUGAAGCACUUGAAAGAUAUUAAAGUGAAGUUCUCAGAUGCUGGCCAGCCCAUGAGUUUUGUCUUAGAGUUUCACUUUGAACCCAAUGAGUAUUUCACAAAUGAAGUGUUGACAAAGACAUAUAGGAUGAGGUCUGAACCAGAUGAUUCUGAUCCCUUUUCUUUUGAUGGACCAGAAAUUAUGGGUUGUACAGGGUGCCAGAUAGAUUGGAAAAAAGGAAAGAAUGUCACAUUGAAAACCAUUAAGAAGAAGCAGAAACACAAGGGACGUGGAACAGUUCGCACUGUGACUAAAACCGUUUCCAAUGACUCUUUCUUUAAUUUUUUUGCCCCUCCUGAAGUUCCUGAAAGUGGAGAUUUGGAUGAUGACGCUGAAGCUAUCCUUGCUGCAGAUUUUGAAAUUGGUCACUUUUUACGUGAGCGUAUAAUUCCAAGAUCAGUGUUAUACUUUACUGGAGAAGCUAUUGAAGAUGAUGACGAUGAUUAUGAUGAAGAAGGUGAAGAAGCAGAUGAGGGUUAUCAGCUCUUUGAAGAAGUCAAAAGCUGCAGUAAACUUUUUCAACGUUGGCUGCAGUAAAUCUUUUCAAUAAAAGCUGUCUGGAUGUCUCGAGUUGUGUUGAGAAAUUUUCGUAUUAGAAGCUUUCAAAUUAAAUUGCGUUAUCACCAAACUGUAAUCAUGAAAAUCUGUUGACCUAUAGAGUAACUUGUAUUAAAUUCUCCCUACAAUAUGAGCCAUUUCUUCCUACUGUACCUACUUCAUGGAUGCAUUUUGAACUUUAAUAUAGGAAGGGGAAGAAGAAGGAGAUGAGGAAAAUGAUCCAGACUAUGACGUGAAGAAGGAUCAAAACCCAGCAGAGUGCAAGCAACAGUGAAGCAGGAUGUGUGUGGCCUUGAGGAUAACUGCACUGUAAUAGCCUAAACACAACUAUUAUUUACUUACAGCCUUAUGUUUUUGUAUUUUCUUUGUAGACUCCGUAGUUUUUUUUAAAAGAAAGGAACUGAUUUUAAAGACCAAUUUGUUCUAAUUAGCAUUUUAACUAUAUCGUUUUUCUGCCAGAUAUGUUGAAUGCACAAAAUUCUGUCAAGCAUGUUCAUUCAUUGCUGCAUAGUUUGGUUCUUUUGGAGCGUUUUUGUCAUGUAGCUAUUAGAUUACGGUUUAUGUACAUUAACAGAACUAGUAAAUGAAACAAAUUUCUUGUUCUGCAAAUCAUCUUCCUAAAGAACCAAAGUAUUUUUUCAGCUGGUAGUUGAAUGGAAUUAAGUCUGCUCGCAUUAGGUGUGCCUUUCAUUACUUUGUUACGGAUAUGCAGUGACUUAUACUAAAAGAGGCAAUUCAUUAUUGGUAUUUUUUUAACAAUGAGAUAAGUAUAUGGUUAAGAAUUUCCAGUAAGACCACAUCUGAUGACUAUCAGAUUGAUUAUGUUUUUUUUUGUAUUUUAAUGACAUAAUAGUAUAGAUAUUUGUUGACACAAAGAAGUGAAUAAAACCUAGUAUUUUCAGAAGUUAGCUUCAUACUAUUUAACUGUACUUUUAAACUUACCCUCCAUUAACUAAGCAUCUUUUCUUUGUGGUGUAGGGUCUACCUUCUGCUCCCCUGGAAAGGAUGAAUUUACAUCAUUUGACAAGCCUAUUUCGAGUUUUUUUUGUUGUUUGUUUGUUCGCUUGUUUUUGUUUUUGCAACUUAAAAUAAAAAUGUCAAAUACAA
This is an RNA transcript of Trichechus manatus latirostris (Florida manatee), 2426 nucleotides long. It is a transcript of the gene named nucleosome assembly protein 1 like 1, with no coding region annotated. The transcript is spliced from 15 exons. The record is from RefSeq and is a predicted model, not a curated record. NCBI's taxonomy places the organism in Eukaryota, Metazoa, Chordata, Mammalia, Sirenia, Trichechidae.